Non-coding RNA from Habropoda laboriosa, 44 nucleotides. NCBI's taxonomy places the organism in Eukaryota, Metazoa, Arthropoda, Insecta, Hymenoptera, Apidae. The record is from Rfam.
AAAAUGGCCCUUUUCAGGGCCACCAAAUUUUAUAGCGUAUGAUG